This 407-nucleotide ribosomal RNA is filed under the name uncultured bacterium. Its description in RNAcentral is "partial 16S ribosomal RNA". It matches the Rfam family "Bacterial small subunit ribosomal RNA", at positions 30 to 526 of the family's 1533-position model. The record is from RNAcentral.
AUCGAACGCUGGCGGCAUGCUUAACACAUGCAAGUCGAGCGGAGCGGCGGACGGGUGAGUAAUGCCUAGGAAUCUGCCUGGUAGUGGGGGAUAACGUCCGGAAACGGGCGCUAAUCCCGCAUACUUUCAGAUGAGCCUAGGUCGGAUUAGCUAGUUGGUGGGGUAAAGGCCUACCAAGGCGACGAUCCGUAACUGGUCUGCUAGGAUGAUCAGUCAAACUGGAACUGAGACACGGUCCAGACGCCUACGGGAGGCAGCCGUGUGGAAUAUUGGACAAUGGGCGAAAGCCUGAUCGAGCCAUGCCGCGUGUGUGAAUAAGGUCUUCGGAUUGUAAGGCUCUUAAAGUUGGGAGGCGUUACCAACAGAAUAAGCACCGGCUAACUUCGUGCCAGCAGCCGCGGUAAUUC